CCAGCCUAAAUCUCAAAAACAAAAGACUGG
This 30-nucleotide non-coding RNA is filed under the name Rattus norvegicus (Norway rat). The record is from RNAcentral. Lineage: Eukaryota; Metazoa; Chordata; Mammalia; Rodentia; Muridae.